This 443-nucleotide ribosomal RNA is filed under the name uncultured bacterium. RNAcentral describes it as "partial 16S ribosomal RNA". It matches the Rfam family "Bacterial small subunit ribosomal RNA", at positions 338 to 795 of the family's 1533-position model. The record is from RNAcentral.
CCUACGGGUGGCAGCAGUGGGGAAUAUUGGGCAAUGGGCGCAAGCCUGACCCAGCAACGCCGCGUGAAGGAAGAAGGCUUGCGGGGUGUAAACUUCUUUUCUGAGGGACGAAGAAAGUGACGGUACCUCAGGAAUAAGCCACGGCUAACGACGGGCCAGCAGCCGCGGUAAUACGUAGGGGGCAAGCGUUAUCCGGAUUUAUUGGGUGUAAAGGGCGUGUAGGCGGGAAAGCAAGUCAGAUGUGAAAACUCAGGGCUCAACCCUGAGCCUGCAUUUGAAACUGUUUUUCUUGAGUGCUGGAGAGGCAUUCGGAAUUCCGUGUGUAGCGGUUAAAUGCGUAGAUAUACGGAGGAACACCAGUGGCGAAGGCGGAUUGCUGGACAGUAACUGACGCUGAGGCGCGAAAGCGUGGGGAGCAAACAGGAUUAGAUCCCCUUGUAGUC